RNAcentral lists this ribosomal RNA (89 nucleotides) under Photorhabdus sp. HUG-39. Its description in RNAcentral is "partial 23S ribosomal RNA". Lineage: Bacteria; Pseudomonadati; Pseudomonadota; Gammaproteobacteria; Enterobacterales; Morganellaceae. The record is from RNAcentral.
GAUAGGCUGGGUGUGUAAGCGCAGCGAUGCGUUGAGCUGACCAGUACUAAUGAACCGAGAGGCUUAACCUUACAACGCCGAAGGUGUUU